AUGAGCAGGCAGAUUACACAAGUUUAUGGCUUCUAUGAUGAGUGUCUCCAUGAAUACGGCUCGGUGAAUGUCUGGAGAUGUUGCACAGAAAUAUUCGACUAUUUAAGUUUGUCUGCACUUACUAAGAACAAAAUCUUCAAUGUCCAUGGAGGCCUUUCCCCUGCUACUACGACACUGAAUCGGGUACAUUAUUCGCUGGUUUUAUAUUUUGUAUAG
This 216-nucleotide ribosomal RNA is filed under the name Triticum aestivum (bread wheat). RNAcentral's name for it is "partial small subunit ribosomal RNA". Lineage: Eukaryota; Viridiplantae; Streptophyta; Magnoliopsida; Poales; Poaceae. The record is from RNAcentral.